RNAcentral lists this unclassified non-coding RNA (373 nucleotides) under soil metagenome. RNAcentral describes it as "partial contains 5.8S ribosomal RNA, internal transcribed spacer 2, and large subunit ribosomal RNA". The stretch from base 1 to 121 matches the Rfam family "5.8S ribosomal RNA", at positions 35 to 154 of the family's 154-position model. The record is from RNAcentral.
GAUGAAGAACGUAGCGAAAUGCGAUAAGUAAUGCGAAUUGCAGAAUUCCAGUGAGUCAUCGAAUCUUUGAACGCACAUUGCGCCCUUUGGUAUUCCGAAGGGCAUGCCUGUUCGAGCGUCAUUAUCACCCCUCAAGCCCUCGGCUUGGUGUUGGACGGUUUGGUGGAGGCCCCCUCGGGGGUUCUUGCCCCUCCCAAAGACAAUGACGGCGGCCUCGUUGGACCCCCGGUACACUGAGUUCUUCACGGGACACGUAUCGGACACAUGGGUUUACGGGACACGGUCUGCCUCCCCUCAGGGAGAAUCUUUCUAAGGUUGACCUCGGAUCAGGUAGGGAUACCCGCUGAACUUAAGCAUAUCAAUAAGCGGAGGA